RNAcentral lists this long non-coding RNA (450 nucleotides) under Androctonus crassicauda. The record is from RNAcentral. Lineage: Eukaryota; Metazoa; Arthropoda; Arachnida; Scorpiones; Buthidae.
CCAUAUUCCAAGUAUAUAAAACCUUCGUUUCGAUUGGUUGAUUACUUGCUUCGCGUUUUGGUGCAUCGUAUUGUUCGUGGGUGCUGAUUCGUCAAAGUUCGAUAUUUUCAUCUCCUUUAGCGCGGCAACGCGCGUUAACUGGAGUAGCCGCACGGAAAAAGCUAAUCCAAGACACACUUUACGCGCGUAACCGCGCGAAGUUGUUUUCUAAUGGUUCGCUUCCCGUCGCGUUCAGUGUGCCACCGCCUUUCGGAUGAGAGCUCUUUCCUGUUUGAAGGUGUACGAAUGGCCGUGAUGAACUCGCCGUGUUUCUGGUGUGGUAUGGAUGGAGGUGACAGUGUGGUGCUGAUACCUGUGAUGACAUCACACCUAUAUAUUGAGAUGCAAGUUGUUUCUUCUUUGGAGAUGGGAUCAGAGAAUAUUGGUUUCACCAAUAAAAUUAGUUUUAUC